AACAGGAUUAGAUACCCUGGUAGUCCAUGCCGUAAACGAUGAGUGCUAGGUGUUGGAGGGUUUCCGCCCUUCAGUGCCGGAGCUAACGCAUUAAGCACUCCGCCUGGGGAGUACGACCGCAAGGUUGAAACCCAAAGGAAUUGACGGGGGCCCGCACAAGCGGUGGAGCAUGUGGUUUAAUUCGAAGCUACGCGAAGAACCUUACCAGGUCUUGACAUCUUGCGCCAACCCUAGAGAUAGGGCGUUUCCUUCGGGAACGCAAUGACAGGUGGUGCAUGGUCGUCGUCAGCUCGUGUCGUGAGAUGUUGGGUUAAGUCCCGCAACGAGCGCAACCCUUGUUACUAGUUGCCAGCAUUAAGUUGGGCACUCUAGUGAGACUGCCGGUGACAAACCGGAGGAAGGUGGGGACGACGUCAGAUCAUCAUGCCCCUUAUGACCUGGGCUACACACGUGCUACAAUGGACGGUACAAUGAGUCGCGAACUCGCGAGGGCAAGCAAAUCUCUUAAAACCGUUCUCAGUUCGGACUGCAGGCUGCAACUCGCCUGCACGAAGUCGGAAUCGCUAGUAAUCGCGGAUCAGCAUGCCGCGGUGAAUACGUUCCCGGGCCUUGUACACACCGCCCGUCACACCAUGAGAGUUUGUAACACCCAAAGUCGGUGGGGUAACCUUUUAGGAGCCAGCCGCCUAAGGUGGGACAGAUGAUUAGGGUGAAGUCGUAACAAGGUAACC
Molecule: ribosomal RNA, 731 nt
Filed under: uncultured bacterium
Lineage: Bacteria
Description: bacterial SSU rRNA
Rfam family: Bacterial small subunit ribosomal RNA
Source: RNAcentral